Molecule: ribosomal RNA, 497 nt
Filed under: uncultured bacterium
Lineage: Bacteria
Description: partial 16S ribosomal RNA
Rfam family: Bacterial small subunit ribosomal RNA
Source: RNAcentral
GAUGAACGCUGGCGGCGUGCCUAAUACAUGCAAGUCGAGCGAACAGAUAAGGAGCUUGCUCCUUUGACGUUAGCGGCGGACGGGUGAGUAACACGUGGGUAACCUACCUAUAAGACUGGAAUAACUCCGGGAAACCGGGGCUAAUGCCGGAUAACAUUUAGAACCGCAUGGUUCUAAAGUGAAAGAUGGUUUUGCUAUCACUUAUAGAUGGACCCGCGCCGUAUUAGCUAGUUGGUAAGGUAACGGCUUACCAAGGCAACGAUACGUAGCCGACCUGAGAGGGUGAUCGGCCACACUGGAACUGAGACACGGUCCAGACUCCUACGGGAGGCAGCAGUAGGGAAUCUUCCGCAAUGGGCGAAAGCCUGACGGAGCAACGCCGCGUGAGUGAUGAAGGUUUUCGGAUCGUAAAACUCUGUUAUUAGGGAAGAACAAAUGUGUAAGUAACUGUGCACGUCUUGACGGUACCUAAUCAGAAAGCCACGGCUAACUACGUG